Molecule: long non-coding RNA, 222 nt
Organism: Thalassophryne amazonica
Lineage: Eukaryota; Metazoa; Chordata; Actinopteri; Batrachoidiformes; Batrachoididae
Exons: 2
Source: RefSeq, a predicted model, not a curated record
GUGACUCGGGCACAGCUGGAGACUCUUCAAACAGAGAAUCACAGUCUGAAGGAUCUCCUGCAGAGACUCGUGACUCAGACACCCAAGAGGGGCGAUUCCUCGCUUGCAUCGCUGAAGGAGAGUUAUGCAUCUUCUCUGAGCAGUCUGGAAGGUCAGAAUCUACAGUUACAGCGGCAACUUUCUGAGGCACAAACCCAACUUGAGCUCUCCAAUCGGACGUGG